RNAcentral lists this unclassified non-coding RNA (335 nucleotides) under soil metagenome. Its description in RNAcentral is "partial contains 5.8S ribosomal RNA, internal transcribed spacer 2, and large subunit ribosomal RNA". The stretch from base 1 to 120 matches the Rfam family "5.8S ribosomal RNA", at positions 35 to 154 of the family's 154-position model. The record is from RNAcentral.
GAUGAAGAACGUAGUGAAAUGCGAUAAGUAAUGUGAAUUGCAGAAUUCAGUGAAUCAUCGAAUCUUUGAACGCACAUUGCGCCCGCCAGUAUUCUGGCGGGCAUGCCUGUUCGAGCGUCAUUUCAACCAUCAAGCCCCCGGCUUGUGUUGGGGACCUGCGGCUGCCGCAGGCCCUGAAAACCAGUGGCGGGCUCGCUAGUCACUCCGAGCGUAGUAAUACAUCUCGCUCAGGGCGUGCUGCGGGUUCCGGCCGUUAAAAAAGCCUUAUUUACCCAAGGUUGACCUCGGAUCAGGUAGGAAGACCCGCUGAACUUAAGCAUAUCAAUAAGCGGAGA